Molecule: ribosomal RNA, 406 nt
Filed under: uncultured bacterium
Lineage: Bacteria
Description: partial 16S ribosomal RNA
Rfam family: Bacterial small subunit ribosomal RNA
Source: RNAcentral
AUUGAACGCUGGCGGCAGGCCUAACACAUGCAAGUCGAGCGAGCGGCGGACGGGUGAGAAUUGUCUGGGAAACUGCCUGAUGGAGGGGGAUAACAACUGGAAAAGGUAGCUAAUACCGCAUACCAUAAGAUGUGACCCGAUGGGAUUAGCUAGUAGGUGGGGUAAUGGCGCACCUAGGCGACGAUCACUAGCUGGUCUGAGAGGGGGACCAGCCACACUGGAACUGAUACACGGUCCAGACUCCUACGGGAGGCAGCAGUGGGGAAUAUUACACAAUGGGCGCAAGCCUGAUGCAGCCAUGCCGCGUGUGUGAAGAAGGCCUUCGGGUUGUAAAGCACUUUCAGCGGGGAGGCGUUACCCGCAGAAGAAGCACCGGCUAACUCCGUGCCAGCAGCCGCGGUAAUUC